GGCGGCAGCGGAGGGCAGCCUCGUCGCUUGGGUCGCGCCGCUGCUCGCCAGCGAGUGCCCGACGAGCUACUCGAUCCGAGGUUCCGGCAUGGAGAGGUGACCGGGAAGGAGGUGAAGCAGGCCGUGGCCGCCAUAUGCAUGUGCUUGCAGGGAUGAUCUAACGUAACUGGUCCCUGCUCUCCUCGAUGGUGGUCAUCUGGGGCAGCGUCGGCAC
RNAcentral lists this long non-coding RNA (214 nucleotides) under Brachypodium distachyon (stiff brome). RNAcentral's name for it is "long non-coding RNA (BDIS_LNC004223)". The record is from RNAcentral. Lineage: Eukaryota; Viridiplantae; Streptophyta; Magnoliopsida; Poales; Poaceae.